GGUUUCGUAGCUCAACUGGAUAGAGCAUCAGUCUUCUAAACUGAGGGUUCCGGGUUCGAGUCCCGGCGAAAUCA
RNAcentral lists this transfer RNA (74 nucleotides) under Prevotella sp. RNAcentral's name for it is "tRNA-Arg". It matches the Rfam family "tRNA". From Rfam's summary of the family: Transfer RNA (tRNA) molecules are approximately 80 nucleotides in length. Lineage: Bacteria; Pseudomonadati; Bacteroidota; Bacteroidia; Bacteroidales; Prevotellaceae. The record is from RNAcentral.